CACCUACGGGAGGCAGCAGUUGGGAAUCUUGCACAAUGGGGGAAACCCUGAUGCAGCGACGCCGCGUGGAGGAUGACGGAUCUAGGUCUGUAAACUCCUUUUUCAUGGAAAGACUUAGGACGGUACCAUGAGAAUAAGGACCGGCUAACUACGUGCCAGCAGCCGCGGUAAGACGUAGGGUCCAAGCGUUGUCCGGAUUUACUGGGCGUAAAGAGCGCGUAGGCGGUCUGUUAAGUGUGAAGUGAAAUCUCCAGGGCUCAACCCGGAAACUGCUUCGCAUACUGGCAGACUUGAGGAAUGCAGAGGUUUGUGGAAUUCCUGGUGUAACGGUGAAAUGUGUUGAUAUCAGGAGGAACACCCAUGGCGAAGGCAGCAAACUGGGCAUUAUCUGACGCUGAGGCGCGAAAGCGUGGGUAGCAAACAGGAUUAGAUACCCUGGUAGUCCACGCCCUAAACGAUGGAUACUAGGCGUAAGAGGUAUCGACCCCUCUUGUGCCGCAGCUAACGCAUUAA
This 513-nucleotide ribosomal RNA is filed under the name uncultured bacterium. Its description in RNAcentral is "bacterial SSU rRNA". It matches the Rfam family "Bacterial small subunit ribosomal RNA", at positions 335 to 863 of the family's 1533-position model. The record is from RNAcentral.